UCCUGGUUAGCUCAGUUGGUAGAGCACUUCAUUGGGAUGGAGAGGUCCCUGGUUCGAUACUAAGACCAGGCG
Ixodes scapularis (black-legged tick) is the source of this 72-nucleotide non-coding RNA. The record is from Rfam. NCBI's taxonomy places the organism in Eukaryota, Metazoa, Arthropoda, Arachnida, Ixodida, Ixodidae.